UACGUAGGGUGCGAGCGUUAAUCGGAAUUACUGGGCGUAAAGCGUGCGUAGGCGGUUCGUCAAGUCUGAUGUGAAAGCCCCGGGCUCAACCUGGGAACUGCAUUGGAAACUAGCGAGCUUGAGUGUGGCAGAGGGGGGUGGAAUUCCACGUGUAGCAGUGAAAUGCGUAGAUAUGUGGAGGAACACCGAUGGCGAAGGCAGCCCCCUGGGCCUGUACUGACGCUCAUGCACGAAAGCGUGGGGAGCAAACAGG
RNAcentral lists this ribosomal RNA (253 nucleotides) under uncultured bacterium. RNAcentral's name for it is "partial 16S ribosomal RNA". It matches the Rfam family "Bacterial small subunit ribosomal RNA", at positions 524 to 776 of the family's 1533-position model. The record is from RNAcentral.